GAAGUUUAUUGACGUUACCCUAUGAAUAAGAGGCACCUAAUCACGUGCCAGCAGGUGCGGUAAUACGUGAGCCUCAAGCGUUACCCGGAUUUAUUGGGCGUAAAGGGUGUGUAGGCGGUUUUGUUAGUCUCCUGUUAAAGCCUCUGGCUUAACCAGAGAAGUGCAGGGGAAACGGCAAAACUAGAGGAUGCGAGGGGUUUGUGGAACUCAUGGUGUAGGGGUGGUAUCCGUUGAUAUCAUGGGGAACACCGAAAGCGAAGGCAACAAACUGGCGCACUCCUGACGCUGAGACACGAAAGCGUGGGUAGCGAAUGGGAUUAGAUACCCCAGUAGUCCACGCCCUAAACGAUGUCCGCUGGCUUUUCGGAGUAUCGACCCUCUGAGAGGCGAAGCUAACGCGUUAAGCGGACCGCCUGGGUAGUACGGCCGCAAGGCUAAAACUCAAAGGAAUAGACGGGGGCUCGCACAAGCGGUGGAGCGUGUGGCUUAAUUCGACACUAAGCGAAGAACCUUACCAGGGCUUGAAACCGAGACGACAAUUCUGUGAAAGUAGAAUUUUCUUCGGACGGCUCGGCAGGUGACGCGUGGCUGUCGUCAGUUCGUGAUUUGAAUUGUUCCCUUAAGUGGGGUAACGAACGCAACCCUCAUUGCCUGUUACAAGUGUCAGGCGAGACUGCUCCCUCACGGGAGAGGAAGGCGAGGAUGACGCCAAGUCAGCACGUCCCUUUGAUGUCCUGGGCUGCACACGCGCUACAAUGGGUGAUACAACGGGGCGCGACGCCGAGAGGCUGAGCAAAUCCUUAUAAAGUCAUCCCCAGUUCGGAUUGAGGUCUGCAACUCGACCUCAUGAAGUUGGAAUCGCUAGUAAUCGCAGGUCAGCAACACUGCGGUGAAUACGUUCUCGAGCCUUGUACUCACCGCCCGUCAAGUCAAGGGAGCCGGGAGUACCCGAAGUCUCACUUUAUGUGGGCCGAAGGUAAGUUCGGUAACAGGGACUAAGUCGUAACAAGGCACGGGUAGCGGAAGCUGUUCGUG
This 1035-nucleotide ribosomal RNA is filed under the name marine metagenome. RNAcentral describes it as "bacterial SSU rRNA". It matches the Rfam family "Bacterial small subunit ribosomal RNA", at positions 461 to 1520 of the family's 1533-position model. The record is from RNAcentral.